GCUGGGGACAGCCUCACAUGAUGACCCUUCUCUCUCUGAUGGCUGUGGUGAUGAUCAUCAAACCAAAGCCUCUAAGAAGUUGACUGAAGAGGCUGUUCCUCC
RNAcentral lists this small nucleolar RNA (102 nucleotides) under Antrostomus carolinensis (chuck-will's-widow). Its description in RNAcentral is "Caprimulgus carolinensis (chuck-will's-widow) Small nucleolar RNA SNORD125". It matches the Rfam family "Small nucleolar RNA SNORD125". Lineage: Eukaryota; Metazoa; Chordata; Aves; Caprimulgiformes; Caprimulgidae. The record is from Rfam by way of RNAcentral.